This 29-nucleotide small RNA is filed under the name Bombyx mori (domestic silkworm). Its description in RNAcentral is "ovarian small RNA-25845". Lineage: Eukaryota; Metazoa; Arthropoda; Insecta; Lepidoptera; Bombycidae. The record is from RNAcentral.
UCAGUUGUGUGGUCUGUUGAAAGUGCCUU